CUAACAAUUCUUCCGCGUAGCUCCUUACAUUCCCCCACUCUGUGUUCCACACUUGCAUAGUCUCUAACAAUUCUUCUGCAUAGCUCCUUAUGUUCCCCUGCUCUGUGUUCUGUGCUUGCGUAGUCUCUAAUGAUUCUUCCAUGUAGCUCUCAAUGAUUCCCCCGCCCCAUGUUCCGCACUUGUGUAACUUCUAACAAUUCUUACACAUACCCCUUAAUGUUCUUCCACUCCGCGCUCCACUAUGGAGCGGCUUCUGAUAUUCUUCCGCCCCGAACUUUCCCCUAUAAGAACCCCCUUCAUACGACC
This 306-nucleotide small RNA is filed under the name Histoplasma ohiense. RNAcentral describes it as "hypothetical lncRNA". The record is from RNAcentral. Lineage: Eukaryota; Fungi; Ascomycota; Eurotiomycetes; Onygenales; Ajellomycetaceae.